RNAcentral lists this long non-coding RNA (229 nucleotides) under Mytilus galloprovincialis (Mediterranean mussel). The record is from RNAcentral. Lineage: Eukaryota; Metazoa; Mollusca; Bivalvia; Mytilida; Mytilidae.
GUCGUAACUACAAUCCCCUUCCCUUUCAUGAAUGUGACCUACCGAAUUAGACUAUUUACCGGAUUUGUUAUCACAUAAGCAACACGACGGGUGCCGCAUGUGGAGCAGGAUCUGCUUACCCUUCCGGAGCACCUGAGAUCACCCCUAGUUUUUUGGUGGGGUUCGUGUUGUUUAUUUUUUAGUUUUCUAUGUUGUGUCGUGUGUGCUGUUGUUUGUUUGUCUUUUUCAU